Molecule: unclassified non-coding RNA, 169 nt
Filed under: uncultured Pyronemataceae
Lineage: Eukaryota; Fungi; Ascomycota; Pezizomycetes; Pezizales; Pyronemataceae
Description: sequence contains ITS2
Source: RNAcentral
GACACAAUGUUCAAGCGUCACAGCUUGGUGGUGGUGGAUGAGCAUCGACUUGGAUUCUCACCUCCAAAAUUGAAUGGCGGAUGUUGGGAAGCUGCCUUGAGCGUCGUAAGUGCCAGACACUCGCCUUGAUGGCUCUGAACAUCCUGCCCGUAAACCUCAGGAUACCACA